UUCAUUCAAUGUUCUUUUCAGUUUAACAGCUGCCCUUCACCCAUUUUACAGGUGGCAAAGCUGAGUCCAGGGAAAGGCAGCAACUUCUCAAAGCCAUACAGGGAGCCAAUGGUCAAGAGCGGAGCCCCACGCUGCCGCUGUUGGUGCUGACAGUGGGCCAGCCCUGGGAAGAAGGAGAGAAGGCCGCAUGUUCGCCGUCCCCACCCCCAGCCGUUUCUAGGACACCAAGAAUCAACUCGAAGCUGCUCCUAUGAUUAAUUACCAGCUGCCUAAUGCUCCGCCACUGGCAAUUUCUGGAAAAGGAAUGAAUUACCUUGAAAAACAUCCGAAAAGAGAACCCACCGUGAAGGAGAAUUUCAAAGGUUACCAGACAAUUAGCAGAGGGUUCCCCUAGCCUCAUCGAGUUGCAGGCAGGCCCCAUCGGGAGAGGCAGGCCACCAGCCUGAGGGCCACCCUCUGGCUCCAGAGAGCAGCGGACUUGGCGGGCUGGGCAAAGGCUGCAGGGCAGAAAUGGAGUGGCUUUCCCCCAGCAGCUCCCAUGCUUGUCCUGGGGCCCCGCCCCUGGCCUCUAAGGCCUUAUGCACUGGUUAAUCCUGAUGGACCUCGGUUCAAAUCCCCAUUCCAGCACUGAUGGUUCUGUGGGUUUCCUAACCACGCCGAGCCUCUGGAGAAUGAAUUAGACAAACCUCCCCGUGGGAUUCUUGUGGGGGUAAAAAGGUAUUAAAGGAGCAUAGUGCCUGACACACACACAGCAGAUGCUCACGAGACUGUGACAUUUAAAAAUAUUCAUGGCUUCUAAGCAUCCUCACAGCAGCUCUGUCAGCAAUGUCAGUAUAAUCAGCCUCAUUUUCAGAUGAGAAAGCUGGCUCUCACACAAGGGAAGGGACUGGCCCAAGGUCAUGCAGCCAAUCAGCAGACAGCUGGGAUUUCCUGCAGCAGGAACGGAGAUGGAGCCUGGCUCUCCAAUGUCGGAGCUUGACUGAGGCUCGCCUGGCCCUGCCCCUAGGCCCCUGGAAGCGCUAAGCUCCAGGAGGGACGCUGAGGGCCGCAGGGGAUGUUAGGAGACAGCUCCACACCAGGGCGAAGACUCCCCCCUCCCAGGCUGCCCCAGCACCACGACGCCUUGGGACAAAGGGCUCUGGGCCAAGUAAGGAUUUUUGUGAAGUCUCUCAUCUCUAGGUUGAGAGUUGCCAAGUAAACAGGGAUUACACAGGUCACCCUCGGGCACAGGGCCAAGUGAGAUCAACCCUGAAAUGCCACCCCAUGAUGAGAAAUGCUGGGGCACGGGACAGAGCUGGGCUCGACCUCAGGACCUGCUGGCCCCGACCUCAGGACCUGCUGGCCCCGACCUCAGGACCUGCUGGCCCCAGCUGCUCUCAGUUGCUCCUCAAGGUGCCCUGCCCCCCUUAUCAGGCGGGGGGUCCAGUUCGUGUCCAUCCUGGCACUGGUGGGUCCUCAGGGGGAGCAGGGUGGUGGAAACUGAGGUGUGUGGGGAGAAAGGUGGGUCCUAGCACCCUUGAGGAAAAGGGCUGACAUGUCCCUAGUCCUUGCUGUGUGCCAGGUGUGUAGUCUCCUCACUGCGAGAGUGGAGCAGGCACCGCCAUCUCAUUCCCAUUUGAUAGAUGGGUAAACAGAGGCACAGAGUAACCAUGCAUGCCAGUCAGGAUUUGAAUCCAGAUGGUCUGACCCCAGAGCCCAGUGUAUGCACCUCGGCAUGUUUGUGAGAGUGGGCAGAAGGGGUGGGUAGCCCUGCACCCAUUUCAGCCGACAUGCUCCUGCUCACCCAGGCCUCCUUUGGUGGGGCUGCCCAUACUCCACAGGGUUUAGAGUGGUGCAGACAGGGCUGCUGUGCCAAGACCAGGUAGCCAGACCUGCCCCUCUCCCCAGGCAGACCUGCAGCCCCCACCCCUAGCAGCUGCUGUAGAGAAAGGCCAGGCCAAGAGGUCCCUGGGUGCCAGGUAGACGGACGGCCCAUUGGGGGCAUGAUGAGCUCCCAGCAAAGGUGGCUUGUGCCCACUCCUGCCCCUCAGGGCUGAGGCCCGAGUCAAAGGUCCAGCGUGCUAGGGCUAGCACCUGCCCUCAUGAGGACUCGCCUGCGUCCGACCCAGCCACCUCCCGCCAGCCCCGUGGCACACCUACCUCAGUGAUCUGCAAACCACCAGUGUCCCACACGCCGGUCAGCAGCUUGCGGCCCCUCCACCUCACUCCAGCUCCAUCCUGCUGCAAUGAAAGUGGGAGGUCAGUGGGUCUACCCACAGUAGAGGCCCGGCACUGACCAUGAGGCCACUGCCCACUGCCACCGUAUCAUCCCCAUCUGACAGAGGAGGACUCUGAAGGGACAUGAUGGGGUGCCCUGGCAUAAACAGGCCCCUGACUCCCCACACCUGCCAGUUACUGGUUAUGUGAUUACGGAUAUGCUCUCAGACUCUCUGGGGUUCAGUUUCCUCACGUGUCAAAGUGGGGUCAAAGUAUGUCUCAAGGUCACCGGGAGAAUCCAAGGAGAUGCGAUGACAAAGGCACUUCGCAUUCACUCAUUCAUUCAACAAACAUUCAGCAAGCAUGCUGAUGUGAUAGUGAUCCCUACCCUUGCGGAGACUCAGACGAGAGCAAAGAAUCAAAUGAUACAAAAGUAAAAGCAGUGCUUGCCAGAAACAAACAAUGAGUCCAGGAGCCACACAGCAGAGACUCAAGAUCCCAGGUGGCCUCUCUGGAGAAGUGAAGUUGAGCAACAAGCCAGGGAGAGGCAGACCAAGAUGCGGCAAACAGCAUUCCAGGCAGAGGGAACAGCAUAUGCGAAGACUCCAAGAUAGAGAAAAGUGCCUGGCCCAGUGGAGGACUUGGGGUCUGUGGUGUAGCAGAUGCACUGAGCAAGGGAGGGGUGCCGUGAGUGGAGACCAGGGGCCAGCGACAGUAAGAAAGAGGGUGGGCAGGAGUCACAGCAGCAUCUGGGCAGCUGAGGGAUGUGACCCUAGUUCUAGUUUAGGAAGCCCCCAUGGCUGUGAAGGGAGAAGGGCUUGGAGGAAUAGGAGGAGGCAGAAGAGCAGUGGGGACGCUGCUCCAGGGUCCAGGCCAGAGACAGUGGUGCUCGGGGCAGAGAUGGCAGCAGGCAGAAGUGCAGGGCCUGCGGGUGCACUGGGAGUGUGGGCACACAACCAUCCUUGUUGGGUGGGGCUCAGCUGGCCCACCUCCUCAACGGCCCACCAACACGCCCCCCACUGCCCACAGAGCCCUGAGGGCAGGAGGGAGGAUGACACCCAGAGGCCUGGCUGGUGGGCUUCUCUGGGGUCUCAGCUGGAGGCUGGGAUGUGCAGAACCCUGAAUUCAAGCUAUGGCUGUGAAGGUGCCCCGAUGCAUGGCCGUGAACAGUCACUGUGCCUCUCUGCACCGGAGUGCCUACCCCUAAAAACCAGGAAACCUGACUGCAGGGCUGAGCUCCUCUCAGAACAAAGAUCGUGGCUCACAGCGGGAGAGGUGGUGCCCACAUCACGUGAAGCAUAGGCCUCCAUACACGCCAAGGGGCUCGGUAAGGUCCUCAGCCUGGGCUCCACCUCACUGUGCACAGGCAGGGGCUCCCAGGGAGAAACGGUGCCCAGGGCCUCGAUAAGAGGCAAAGAGGCCUGGUGAUUGAGAGGCAGGCUCAGUAAUCACAAGGAUCUGCUUCAAAUCUUGGCUUCGCCCUCGUACCAAGUGUGUGACUUGGACACGUUUCUUAAGCCUCCCUCUGCCUCAGUUUCCUCAACUGUUGUAGGGGAUAUAGAAAUAAAGAGAAGGCCUCCCUCAAA
Molecule: long non-coding RNA, 3782 nt
Organism: Pan troglodytes (chimpanzee)
Lineage: Eukaryota; Metazoa; Chordata; Mammalia; Primates; Hominidae
Exons: 2
Source: RefSeq, a predicted model, not a curated record